CCAGUUGUUCUGCCAAGGGCAUGGCUGGGUAGCUAUGUACGGAAUGGAUAAGCGCUGAAAGCAUCUAAGCGCGAAGCCAACUUCAAGAUAAGAUUUCCCACCGCAAGGGUAAGACCCCAGAAAGACUAUCUGGUUGAUAGGUCGAAGGUGUAAGUGCAGCAAUGUAUUUAGCUUAUCGAUACUAAUAGGUCGAGGACUUGACCAAU
This 206-nucleotide ribosomal RNA is filed under the name Clostridioides difficile. Its description in RNAcentral is "partial 23S ribosomal RNA". It matches the Rfam family "Bacterial large subunit ribosomal RNA", at positions 2717 to 2925 of the family's 2925-position model. The record is from RNAcentral. Lineage: Bacteria; Bacillati; Bacillota; Clostridia; Peptostreptococcales; Peptostreptococcaceae.